GUCGAGCGAACUGAUUAGAAGCUUGCUUCUAUGACGUUAGCGCCCUUUUGUGAGUAACACGUGGGCAACCUGCCUGUAAGACUGUUUAUAACUUCGGGAAACCGAAGCUAAUACCGGAUAGGAUCUUCUCCUUCAUGGGAGAUGAUUGAAAGAUGGUUUCGGCUAUCACUUACAGAUGGGCCCGCGGUGCAUUAGCUAGUUGGUGAGGUAACGGCUCACCAAGGCAACGAUGCAUAGCCGACCUGAGAGGGUGAUCGGCCACACUGGGACUGAGACACGGCCCAGACUCCUACGGGAGGCAGCAGUAGGGAAUCUUCCGCAAUGGACGAAAGUCUGACGGAGCAACGCCGCGUGAGUGAUGAAGGCUUUCGGGUCGUAAAACUCUGUUGUUAGGGAAGAACAAGUACAAGAGUAACUGCUUGUACCUUGACGGUACCUAACCAGAAAGCCACGGCUAACUACGUGCCAGCAGCCGCGGUAAUACGUAGGUGGCAAGCGUUAUCCGGAAUUAUUGGGCGUAAAGCGCGCGCAGGCGGUUUCUUAAGUCUGAUGUGAAAGCCCACGGCUCAACCGUGGAGGGUCAUUGGAAACUGGGGA
This 597-nucleotide ribosomal RNA is filed under the name bacterium Ca.S4. RNAcentral's name for it is "bacterial SSU rRNA". It matches the Rfam family "Bacterial small subunit ribosomal RNA", at positions 61 to 639 of the family's 1533-position model. The record is from RNAcentral.